Non-coding RNA from Dermacentor albipictus, 4383 nucleotides. Lineage: Eukaryota; Metazoa; Arthropoda; Arachnida; Ixodida; Ixodidae. The record is from RefSeq and is a predicted model, not a curated record.
UUUAGCUUCGAAAAAAAGUCCUAAAUGAACCACCGACCCGGGACGCUGCAUGAAUGGGCUGUUACUGCCGAUUUCGAUAGCCGUUUCUUGUUCUUCACGCGAGGGGUAUGCAAUGUUUUCUUAGUUCAGUGAUGCCUUUCAGUCUACACGUCUGUCUAGCCAUAUAUAUUCGUCAGAGAAACGCAGGCUAGUGCUGGGAGCCUUCGGCGACAGCACAUAUACCUGCGUUUAUGAUGCGUCACAUCGGCGCUCCUCACUUCUUGUGCUGGCACUGUAGACAUGAAAAAAUUGUUUAUUUAAAAGCACCGAUGCGAAAUCUGAAAUAUAAAGUAAUUUAUCCUUUUUAGACUUCUUGAUUCUUGAGGUUAGACGCGCCGAUAGCGUGCAGACGGACUCGGCGGAUACGCUAUGCCUAAGCUUCGAUGGGGACUGAUCUCGGCGCGGGUAGCUGGCGAAAGCUAAAAUGUGUGUAUUUGAGCCUCAGAACUCUUUUUAGUACAAUAGGGAAAGUGGAAGCGCACGAAUCGCCUCAGCCUUGUUAUCGGUGCGAUAAUAUCAAGCAGCGGUAGGCAUCGAACUCGGGGUCCGUUCGAGCGCGUCUGAACGACUUCUGGAUUUCAUGUCCACUCCACAACACUGCGACAAUGGCGAUAACUCCCAGUCAUACGUUACGUGCGAACUACUAAAAAAGCGGCGUCCUCCGUCUAUGCGUGGUUUCGUUAAAGAAUUUAGCUGUCCGCCCUGUCACAAGGCAAAAUGCAAAAAACGAAAGUGAUUUUCAGUGUCACAUGUGCAGGAAUAAACAAGGCAGCUCACGCACCUUUAUUCCAUGCUGCGACACGAAAUAGUUCUAUGACCCUAAGAUAUAGCGUUAUUUAGGACAAGAGACUAGUAUCAAGCCAUGAAAUUGUAUAAAGCAUUUAAUAUUCAGCAGCGCUCGUCCUUGCGUGCUGGAGCCAGCGCGGCACAAACACAACCAGCGCCGUUUCCAAUGCGAGCGUCUCUUCCAGUGUGACCCAGCUCUUAUCCAGCGUUCUCACUGGUCUCGAGUGAGUCCCAGCGAGCGCCAGCGUACCCAGUGCGAUCCAGUGCUUAAAAAAAAAGAAAGAAAAAGAAAAAAGAAAAACGCGCUGGUUUCACACUGGAAGGCACUGGAAGACGCUGGUUCUUGCAAUCGGCAUUUCAGAGGUUUUUUACUAUCAAGUAAGAGCAUCGUUAAAAAGACACUCAUUGACCAAGGCAAACAUCACACUAAUCGAAAUUAGGAAAACCAAAGAAAUAUAACGGAAGCGCGCAUUGUGGUUUAUAUCGCAUAUGCAGGUAAAUCACAAAGAUGUAUACCAAGAAACACUAAGCAAAACUGCGCCUUAGCAAUCGCGUCAUAUCUAUUUGCUGGCAUGCAGUGACUGCAGCACUUGGGGCGGAAACAGAUCGAACGCCGCCGCAAAUUUCUGGCACAUACCACUCAAAUGCACGCUGCAGAAACGAUUUUUUUUUUUCAAGGAAUCUUGAACAGUCACAGACCACAUGAGCGCGAUCCGCGCAUGAUAAGCGCAUCGCCACGAAAGCAAGAUAGGGAACACAUAAGCGUAACCUGUACCUCACGGGUAAAAUUAAACAUCAUCGUAUAUACGUUGCUGUGCGACGGACACAAGCGCACGGAAACAUCACACACUGCACACGUGUACCUCCGAGGUUGUGUCGACAAUUUCUGGGCUACAUUUAAACGACAGCAGGAAGUUACUUCAAUGAGAAACGAAGUGAGGGCACAGGCACUGCAGGUAACGGCUGCGCAUAAAGUCAGUUAGGGUUUUAAGGCCAGUGACCGAGGUUGAAAUCGUUAAAAUCACACCGCAGCGAUAGCUUACACAGGGUAAAUUGUCGAGAUCUUGAAGGCCAUGCUUUUUGCUGACUACAUGUGGCAUAAGCGAUUCAAAAGCAAGAAUACUGCAUGUAAUUUAUUUCUGCCCUAAACUAUAGCACACAAUAUGAACAUGUCAAUGUUUCUUCUUGUCUAGCAACAUAUGUAUGUAGUUCGGCUCAAAGGCCGGCUCAAAACGGCACAAAACCUGCUGUAGUGGGUAUUAUUGUAAGAAUCACGGAGGCCACAGCAGCCGCACUAUUAUACAGACGGCGCUGGCGGCGCCGGUAUUUUCGUAUUCAACGCGACAGGUAGAAUACGAAGCUACGGCGUGUUGUUAUUGCUCCGUCUUCAACGGUUGUCGUGCGAGCUGCGUCGAUGUGUUUGUUUGACCGUGUGUUAUUAGGUUUGCUGUAAUGAAAUGAGACGUAGUUCGCGAGCACGAAAGUGCCAGAAGAUGGCUUGAGUCUCGCUGUAAGCACGCCGUAUGCGUGGCGCGCCAGCUAAAUGUGGACCAACGAUUUUCAUGCCAUGGAGUGCGUUCCCUUUGUCUCCGCUUGUGUUCGUGGAAAGUUUGGUGGACGGCGCAGAGAAGUAAUGCGUAUUAUUAGCGCGCCUCAGCUCGUCCACUACCCAGUGGCUUGUUUGCUGCAAGUAACAUCGCAGACGCAUCACUGGAAACUUGGAGAGUGCCUUUCGACCUCGUCGUACUGUUGAAACGUGGCGAGGCCGUGACCCACAACAUUAACUACAAGAUCGAGGAGCCCCAAGAAAUGCCGACCCUGUGGAUAUAUGGCUGCAGCAGAUUGCCGUGUGAUCUGGAUCGUCAUGACAGGUGUGUAUGAAAUGCUCCACCGUCGCCGUUACUAGACGGACCAAAUGAGGCCAAAAACUAGCCUUUCCUCGCUCCAUUCCUGGGAAGUGAAAUAGCAGGUGGUCAUGUAAGAAUGAACUUGCAACCAUGUGGGCAGUAGCCAAAGCUCCCUACAGUUCAUGCUGGUGGUGGAAUGAUAAGACAAACCGCAAUAUUUAUUUGUCUACUUAUUCACUUAAUAUUUAUUUAUUCAUAUCUCAUGAAUACUGUGCAGUUUUUUUAGCAAGGAGUCAGGUAAAAUAAAGAAAUAUUGUUGCAUCAAAGUAAACGUUAUUUGAAAAAGCAUAAUUCACGUAGCACGAAUUCAUGGAAACUGUAAAUUUUGAAGAAACAGAGCAGUAAGGUUAACAAAUCUUAUAUAACAAAAAAUGAGAUCACAUUUCUGUUGGACCUAAUACCAUAAUUUAAUUUGUCAAAUUAGAGAUACCAUAUGCUGCUCUAAUAUACAAUCACUAAUUUAUGAGUAGAUGCGCGAAACUCUCAAACGUUGCAACAAUUUCAUGCUAGCUGUAAAUUCAUAUAUACAGUUUGUUGACUUUAGACAUAGCAGAUGGAGUCUGCAGAACUAUGAUAUCUCUUUCUGGCACAGAGACGGGCAUUAGUAAGCUUUGUGGUGUUAUUUUUCUUAAACCUGCCAAAUAGACCUUCCUGCAACAGGUAGAAUUCUCAAAUGCCGCAAACUUAAUUCAAAUUAGUGCUGUGGUUGUCUCAAAAGUAUUUCUGUAUUUUGGAUGUAUUUGAGUAGGAAAAUUUACAGAAUUAACGAACUUGUGCUAGCUCUUUUUUUUAUUUACAGUUGCAAACUAAGUCCUUUUCCUUCAAGUUUUGCUAUUUUCAGCAAAUUUUAAUAAAAAUUGAUGGUGUUAAUGUAAAAACUAUAAUUUAAACAUUUUUAAAUGUAUCAAACCUCAUCAAAUUUGGUUGCAUAGUUGCCGAGAAAAACGAUUUUACUGUUCAUGUGCAUUACAUAGGAGCUCCUGAGCUAGAUCUCUUUUUUAGUCAUUGCGUCGGUCUGGUUUGUAUUUCUCACCCUAAUUAGAAUAUUGGCUCCUGUCUCAAAAUUGUUUCCCUUACAACGAAAUACAAGCUUUUAAACUUUUUACGAUAUAUGCUGUACUGCUCUAUGAUAACCCCUGUUUGCCACAUUUUUGCAGGGCCUACCAGUGCUAAUUUUACACAUAAACAUAGACUAAAAUGCUGUGUGGUUUCGGUAUAUGGUGUACUUAUCUGUGAAAGCCAUUAUUUGCCACAUUUUUGCAGCGACUGCCAGUGUUAUUUUUGCUCAGACUAAAAUGCUGUGUCGUUUCGUCAGGCUGACACAACAUUGCAGUGCACAUUCAUAUCAGUCUAUUUUCAGGCUUUAGUAUCCAAACAUUUAAUGUGCACUGCUGGAACAGGCACUCCUUUUGCAGUUUUAAUGGUAUGGUUUCUUGUCCUAGUCAAGCCUGUUAUUGCGAGGUGUCAACUGUAAUCAAGUCUGCCACUGAUUCUUUUACCUCAUGUUUCGUGUGUUUGCACCACCAGCUUGACCUGAGAAGCAUGUUGGCAGCUACAGUUUGUGUGUUGCAAGUUCUAGUCUGAAGUGUGUAUGUCACAUAUAUGAAGCAUGUAUCUAGUCUGAAGUGCAAUAAACAUUUCAAACUGAAUA